Molecule: transfer RNA, 92 nt
Filed under: Pseudomonas syringae
Lineage: Bacteria; Pseudomonadati; Pseudomonadota; Gammaproteobacteria; Pseudomonadales; Pseudomonadaceae
Description: tRNA-Ser
Source: RNAcentral
GCGAAUAACUGGUGUGCAAAACCGCAGACAGAACAGAAGCUGUAGGUUAGUGUCCUUCGGAUGUGAGGGUUCGAGUCCCUCCCUUCGCACCA